This 253-nucleotide ribosomal RNA is filed under the name uncultured prokaryote. RNAcentral's name for it is "partial 16S ribosomal RNA". It matches the Rfam family "Bacterial small subunit ribosomal RNA", at positions 525 to 777 of the family's 1533-position model. The record is from RNAcentral.
ACGGAGGGUGCAAGCGUUAUCCGGAUUUACUGGGUUUAAAGGGUGCGUAGGUGGGUCUGUAAGUCAGUGGUGAAAUCUCCGAGCUUAACUCGGAAACUGCCAUUGAUACUAUCUGUCUUGAAUACCGUGGAGAUGAGCGGAAUAUGUCAUGUAGCGGUGAAAUGCUUAGAUAUGACAUAGAACACCAAUUGCGAAGGCAGCUCGUUACACGAACAUUGACUCUGAGGCACGAAAGCGUGGGGAUCAAACAGGA